UCCUCUGUAGUUCAGUCGGUAGAACGGCGGACUGUUAAUCCGUAUGUCACUGGUUCGAGUCCAGUCAGAGGAUCCA
RNAcentral lists this transfer RNA (76 nucleotides) under Escherichia coli. RNAcentral's name for it is "tRNA-Asn". It matches the Rfam family "tRNA". Rfam says of the family: Transfer RNA (tRNA) molecules are approximately 80 nucleotides in length. Their secondary structure includes four short double-helical elements and three loops (D, anti-codon, and T loops). Further hydrogen bonds mediate the characteristic L-shaped molecular structure. tRNAs have two regions of fundamental functional importance: the anti-codon, which is responsible for specific mRNA codon recognition, and the 3' end, to which the tRNAs corresponding amino acid is attached (by aminoacyl-tRNA synthetases). tRNAs cope with the degeneracy of the genetic code in two manners: having more than one tRNA (with a specific anti-codon) for a particular amino acid; and 'wobble' base-pairing, i.e. permitting non-standard base-pairing at the 3rd anti-codon position. Lineage: Bacteria; Pseudomonadati; Pseudomonadota; Gammaproteobacteria; Enterobacterales; Enterobacteriaceae. RNAcentral also lists the same sequence under 2 other names. The record is from RNAcentral.